AUGAUGACCACACACUCACACAUCCAGUACUUGACCGGUUGGCCUAGCCCCAAAGACAAGUUACUACUGAUGGUGAAAUCUCUGAAGUGGUCUGCAGAAGAGUCUUUUUUGGUGACAAGGAUGAGGAUCCUACAAAGACUGAGGUACAAGGUGCAAAUCAAACUCCUAAUACUUGUGUCUUUAUUCAGAUCCAUGGCUGCUUUUCGCCACAUUCUUGUUGCAUUUUGUCAGGCACUUAUCAUCGCUGAGGUGAUCCUGGGGCAAAGUGAUAGGCAGCUGCUCCGCGAACUGAAGAGCUUCCUGCAGGCGCAAAACCCGAUCAACCGUGGCGCCUAUGACACUUGGUCAGAGGCCGAGACCUCGCCAUGCCAUCACCAAGGCGUUGGAUGGACGCCGCCGGGUGUGUCAGUUAUCUCGACCUCUCGAGUUCCAGCUUAG
This 438-nucleotide ribosomal RNA is filed under the name Triticum aestivum (bread wheat). RNAcentral's name for it is "partial small subunit ribosomal RNA". The record is from RNAcentral. Lineage: Eukaryota; Viridiplantae; Streptophyta; Magnoliopsida; Poales; Poaceae.